GGGCCCGUAGCUCAACCGGCUAGAGCGCUCGACUGGUAACCGGGCGGUUGAGGGUUCGAGCCCCUCCGGGCCCA
RNAcentral lists this transfer RNA (74 nucleotides) under candidate division MSBL1 archaeon SCGC-AAA382A20. Its description in RNAcentral is "tRNA-Thr". It matches the Rfam family "tRNA". From Rfam's summary of the family: Transfer RNA (tRNA) molecules are approximately 80 nucleotides in length. Their secondary structure includes four short double-helical elements and three loops (D, anti-codon, and T loops). Lineage: Archaea; Methanobacteriati; Methanobacteriota. The record is from RNAcentral.